GCUAAUUGAGAAGCUAACUUGCACCCACAUUGCAGAUACAAGACCAUGGGGUCACAGGCUCACAUUCUCAGCCUUCUUCUCCUUUGGAUCUCUGACAGCAGAGCAGAAACAAUACUCACUCAGUCUCCAGCAUUCCUGUCUGUGGCUGCAGGACACAAAGCCACCAUCCACUGCAAAGUCAGCACAGAUAUUGAUGAUGACAUGCACUGGUACCAACAAAAGCCAGGAGAAGCCCCCAAGCUCAUCAUUAAAGGUGUUUCUACUGUUGUUUCUGGAGACCCAUCCCGGUUCGGUGGCAGUGGGUAUGGAACAGAUUUUACCCUGACAAUUAAUGAUGUGAAGUCUGAGGACGUUGCAUAUUAUUUCUGUCAGCAUGAUGAUAAUUUUCCUUACACAGUGAUACACUCUGUUACAAAAACCUACUCAGUGUUCUCAGUGAGACUGUCUCUGCGGCUACUGAAGAUGUUCAACAGGGGAACUAGUCCCACUGUGGUGUUUGCUUCAUGCACAAGUGAGUUCACUUCCUCUUUCCUGUUCUGUCACUUCUACUCUCACUUCUCCCAUACUGUUCUUAACAAACCUGAUGUGGAAAAGAUUAGAACAGCUUUUCCCACUUUUUUUCUGUUCAAUUCUUGUAAAAAAAAAAAAAAAGUUCCUGAUUUUUAGUGUCCACCUGAUUUCCACCUCCAAGAAAUAAGUUGAUAACCAAGAUGGAUCUAAUUAAUGUUCCAAAUAAUAUUAAUAAAGACCAUUCUUGAUCUUUCUUCAACCUUCCAUACUCCUGUGACCAUAUUUCAACACCAUGGGCAAAACAAGUAAUAGGACCUUCUUGCAUUUCCAUAAUUUGUUUCAUGGAUUUCUUCUUGUUGUUUA
Non-coding RNA from Dipodomys spectabilis (banner-tailed kangaroo rat), 873 nucleotides. The record is from the annotation of a RefSeq genome assembly. Lineage: Eukaryota; Metazoa; Chordata; Mammalia; Rodentia; Heteromyidae.